UUUUGCUCUUUUGUUAAAUAAAUUCAGUUUGGUCAACAUAUAAAGGAUGAAGAAGAAAGAAGAGAUCAUAGUGACUAUCAUUUAAUCUUUCGAGAUCAUAAGUUGCUCUAUUGACUUAGAGCAUCUCUUCAGCUCAUUGCAGCAAGAAACUCCACAGCUAUCAACCUACUUGAUGAAAAAGUCCUCUUGCUUUCCAUGUGGCUUCCUCCAAGCAGAGUCAGGUGAUGCUGCACUUCUCCACACAUAGCAACUCACAAACAAGUAAAGAGUAGUGCAGAGAUAGGAUGACACCUCCAAUAGCAUUUCUCACUCUUUUAAGUCAGCUGAGAGCUGAGACCUCUACUAACAGUAAUCACAAACAUGUUGACAUUUUUCUGACUAACUAGACUUAUUCUUUCCUCCAGAGAGAUAAUAAAAUGUUCCAUGAUUUAGCCAGGGCUUAAAACAAACAUGUCACAGAAUGAAGUGCUUUGCUUGUAAUCCCAUUGCUUUUUCUAAAACAGACUCAAAGGCUCCUUUCUUGCUCAAGGUAGAGGUACAGAGCACCUCUAUUCCUUCAGUCCCAGAGCAUUUAAUUAUAGUGGCCACGUCUCUCUCUUUUCCACUUGCCUAGGAAGCCAAGAAGGGAUGAUAGGAUGGGAAGUCUGCUGUUUUUCAAUGGUACAAAGAGGUCAUCACCUCCAUAUGUGAGCAAUGGAUUUCAGUAAAAUGCUGAAAAUAACAGAGCUGAAAAGUGCAAAAGGAAAAGUAACUCCCAUCUCUGCAAUAUGAUUUUGUAUCACAGAAUCUGGAUUAAGCACUAAAGUUUUAUGCAUUUAUUCUAUGGUCAUACAGACCCUUUCUGCCUUUCCUCACACAUAGCUGAUAUGUCCUUUUCACGCAGGGACUCUUUCACAAGCCUUUUCUCAGAGUACAUAAACAAAACCCAGCUUCCACCCUAUCCCUGAAGAAUCACACAUACAGUUUCCCACACCACAACUGCUCAUCUAGCUCAUCUUGACCCAGUAACUUCCCAGCAGCCCUCAGUUCCUGAACCCAGCUCUAUGUAGAAGCAACUAUAAGAUGACAGACAUUUGUAAAGCCAGGCGGAAAUAAUCUCACCAGAACUCCUCUCCCAACCUAAGCCACUCUCAGGCUGUGGUCGUCUCUGAUCAGUUUCUGCUGGGAGACCACAAGCUGAUUGACUGCACAGAGCAUGGUAAAUGUUUGUUGAUGGUACAACUGAAACCAUGGAGAAAACUCAUUACAAACUCUUAUGGUUUGUAACACCACCUUCUUCCUUCUCUCCCUCCCCAGAAAUGCUGCCUCCUGUGCACAUGCAGCCUCCCAGGAUGCUCUGUUCCACCACAUCAAUAAAAAGCAAGAGUGAGAUUCAUGUCCUGGGAGUCUUAGAAACUACAUGCAUGUCUACAAACUUUUACAUCCUCAGCCCAAGUACUACCCCUACUUCAACACAGGCUGCUUGCCCCGAGAUCACAAACACAAAAUGGGCCUUUAUCACUGCUGUGGAGACAAGAAUGCUAUUGUGUUUGAUUUUCUGUCAGGGUCACUUGGAUGAUCCACUUGGUGUGAUGGAGAAAUCAAACUGAUGACACCAUGACCCACUGAUCAGUGAAGCAAGAGAGACCCCAGUCAGACACCUGCAGGGCCAUCCUUUGCCAUCAGCCAUUGGCCUUCAGCCAUUUAGCUGGCAAAUUAUAUAAAUUAUAUAAAGAACUGAAAGAAUAUGGGAGGACCAUUAUGAAUAAUUACAUUUUGGCUACCUCUCUGAAGCUGGAAGUCACAGGGAAAAACCUCAGAGUUAGUGUGUCUACAGGGACCUGAACCUUAUUUCCCUUUCAUUCACUUCAAAGAGGAUGACAAGAAAUGUCAGUGGAAUCAAUGGAAUAACAAUGGGACAAGGAUGAGAAAGAG
RNAcentral lists this long non-coding RNA (1914 nucleotides) under Strigops habroptila (Kakapo). Its description in RNAcentral is "lncRNA (ENSSHBG00005007190.1)". The record is from RNAcentral. Lineage: Eukaryota; Metazoa; Chordata; Aves; Psittaciformes; Psittacidae.